GCUCCCAUCGACUAGAGGCCUAGGUCAUCACCCUUUCAAGGUGGAAACACCGGUUCGAAUCCGGUUGGGAGCA
RNAcentral lists this transfer RNA (73 nucleotides) under Bacteroidota bacterium. Its description in RNAcentral is "tRNA-Glu". It matches the Rfam family "tRNA". From Rfam's summary of the family: Transfer RNA (tRNA) molecules are approximately 80 nucleotides in length. Their secondary structure includes four short double-helical elements and three loops (D, anti-codon, and T loops). Lineage: Bacteria; Pseudomonadati; Bacteroidota. The record is from RNAcentral.